Molecule: ribosomal RNA, 253 nt
Filed under: uncultured bacterium
Lineage: Bacteria
Description: partial 16S ribosomal RNA
Rfam family: Bacterial small subunit ribosomal RNA
Source: RNAcentral
UACGUAGGAGACGAGCGUUGUCCGGAGUUACUGGGCGUAAAGGGUGCGCAGGUGGCGGCGCGCGUGGGGGGUGAAAUCGCCCGGCUUAACUGGGCGGGGGCCUUCCAGACGGCGUGGCUUGAGCAGCGGAGGGGGACGUGGAAUUCCGGGUGGAGCGGUGAAAUGCGUAGAUAUCGGGAGGAACACCGGUGGCGAAGGCGACUUCCUGGCCUGUUCUUGACGCUGAGGCGCGAAAGCUAGGGGAGCAAACGGG